GAUGAACGCUGGCGGCGUGCCUAAUACAUGCAAGUCGAGCGAACAGACGAGGAGCUUGCUCCUCUGACGCUAGCGGCGGACGGGUGAGUAACACGUGGAUAACCUACCUAUAAGACUGGGAUAACUUCGGGAAACCGGAGCUAAUACCGGAUAAUAUAUUGAACCGCAUGGUUCAAUAGUGAAAGACGGUUUUGCUGUCACUUAUAGAUGGAUCCGCGCCGCAUUAGCUAGUUGGUAAGGUAACGGCUUACCAAGGCAACGAUGCGUAGCCGACCUGAGAGGGUCAUCGGCCACACUGGAACUGAGACACGGUCCAGACUCCUACGGGAGGCAGCAGUAGGGAAUCUUCCGCAAUGGGCGAAAGCCUGACGGAGCAACGCCGCGUGAGUGAUGAAGGUCUUCUGAUCGUAAAACUCUGUUAUUAGGGAAGAACAAAUGUGUAAGUAACUAUGCACGUCUUGACGGUACCUAAUCAGAAAGCCACGGCUAACUACGUG
This 497-nucleotide ribosomal RNA is filed under the name uncultured bacterium. RNAcentral's name for it is "partial 16S ribosomal RNA". It matches the Rfam family "Bacterial small subunit ribosomal RNA", at positions 28 to 507 of the family's 1533-position model. The record is from RNAcentral.